UACGUAGGGUGCAAGCGUUAAUCGGAAUUACUGGGCGUAAAGCGUGCGCAGGCGGUUUUAUAAGACAGGUGUGAAAUCCCCGAGCUUAACUUGGGAAUUGCAUUUGUGACUGUAAGGCUAGAGUGUGUCAGAGGGGGGUGGAAUUCCACGUGUAGCAGUGAAAUGCGUAGAUAUGUGGAGGAACACCAAUGGCGAAGGCAGCCCCCUGGGAUAACACUGACGCUCAUGCACGAAAGCGUGGGGAGCAAACAGG
RNAcentral lists this ribosomal RNA (253 nucleotides) under uncultured bacterium. RNAcentral's name for it is "partial 16S ribosomal RNA". It matches the Rfam family "Bacterial small subunit ribosomal RNA", at positions 524 to 776 of the family's 1533-position model. The record is from RNAcentral.